This 4019-nucleotide long non-coding RNA is filed under the name Lactuca sativa (garden lettuce). RNAcentral's name for it is "long non-coding RNA (LSAT_LNC009918)". Lineage: Eukaryota; Viridiplantae; Streptophyta; Magnoliopsida; Asterales; Asteraceae. The record is from RNAcentral.
UUCUUGCCAUGUCAUGGUGUAUGAUGUGCACAAAUUAUACCUAUCUAGUUUUGAAUUUAUAACCUAACGAACUUAACUAGCUAGAAUGCACGUAGGCAGUGUACCUAGUCGAAUUAAAGAAUAGUCUAGGUAAGUUGGGUGUCGAUCACGGGGAACGGUAUUUAAUUAAUAAAAUAACUACUAAAAGCUAAACUAAGAAAGACAACUAAAAUGAGGGUUUUAUCUAAUUUUACAAGUUCAGAAAAACUUAAAUUAAAAUAACAAACUAAUGACUAAAGUAAACAACUAGAAAGACGAUUUCAAAUCAAGAAUAAUGGAUACUUUCGUUUAGCUUCGAACCCUUCCUGUUUCCUAUGGUUGAUUUCAAGACAAUGGAUUAAUUCUGCUAGCUACCAAAUAAUAGUUACUAGUCAUCAUGAUCAUACUAACUAGCAUAAGUCAAUUUAACAACUUUAAACCUAAUGAUCAUGCAAGUUAAGGACACUAAAUUGAUUUUAAAGGUAAUUUGGACUUUGAAUGAUAUAAUCUACAGACUACUAUUCUUCUGUUAAGUCUAGUAAUUGAGAAAAUAUUAUGAUCAAAUACUGCUGUUUAACACAAUUAAGCAACUAACUUAUCACCUAUACUAGGAUCUGGUCAAUCUCUAGCUCUAGCAAUUUAAUGGUCAUAAACAACUAGGUAAACCAAGUUCAUGCAACUAACUGUAUUUUAACUACACAAAACUUGAGACAAGGCAAUAAAGAUAGAAACUUUAACAAUCUAGGUGUAGAUUUAUCAAACAAUAUUUAAAGCAAAAACCAGCUUCAUCAAUCCAUAAAACAAGAAACCAAAUAAUAGUUACUAGUCAUCAUGAUCAUACUUACAAUGGAUUAAUUAUGGGUUGGGUCCAAUGUACGGGCUAGACCCAAUAAUAUGUAUGGUAUAUGGUAUUUUGGGGAACUCACUAAGCUUUGUGCUUACAGUUAUGUGUUUAUGGUACUGCCUGUUGCAACGUGAAGGGUCUGGCGUGACUGUACAACAUCCCCUAGUGUUUUCCACAUUGGCUAUUAUGACAUUUACUAUGAUCAUAAAAUGAUUUAAUUACUAUAACUGGAUUUUGGGACAAAUCAAUUGGAUGGUUUAAAUGUUUUUAAAAUGAAACUUUUACUCAAAAAUUUUGGGAUCUUACACCUUACUUCACAAGCUUCACCAAAAUCAAGAAACCAAUCUCAAGAUCAAGCCACCAAGCUCUUUAUCAUGGGAAGGGGAUAUGGUUUCGAAAUGAAGAGAUCAAUGUUGAUGGAGGUGAACUAAUACAAGAAUUAUGGUGGUUGAAUAUGGGAUAAACCCUAAAAAUCAUGGGCUUGGGAUACAAGAGCCACCACGUCAUUGUGUCCUUCUUGCCAUCUCAUGGUAUAUGAUGUGCACAAAUUAUACUUAUCUAGUUUUGAAUUUAUAACCUAACGAACUUAACUAGCUAGAAUGCACGUAGGCAGUGUACCUAGUCGAAUUAAAGAAUCGUCUAGGUAAGUUGGGUGUCGAUCACGGGGAACGGUAUUUAAUUAAUAAAAUAACUACUAAAAGCUAAACUAAGAAAGACAACUAAAAUGAGGGUUUUAUCUAAUUUUACAAGUUCAGAAAAACUUAAAUUAAAAUAACAAACUAAUGACUAAAGUAAACAACUAGAAAGACGAUUUCAAAUCAAGAAUAAUGGAUACUUUCGUUUAGCUUCGAACCCUUCCUGUUUCCUAUGGUUGAUUUCAAGACAAUGGAUUAAUUCUGCUAGCUACCAAAUAAUAGUUACUAGUCAUCAUGAUCAUACUAACUAGCAUAAGUCAAUUUAACAACUUUAAACCUAAUGAUCAUGCAAGUUAAGGAUACUAAAUUGAUUUUAAAGGUAAUUUGGACUUUGAAUGAUAUAAUCUACAGACUACUAUUCUUCUGUUAAGUCUAGUAAUUGAGAAAAUAUUAUGAUCAAAUACUGCUCUUUAACACAAUUAAGCAACUAACUUAUCACCUAUACUAGGAUAUGGUCAAUCUCUAGCUCUAGCAAUUUAAUGGUCAUAAACAACUAGGUAAACCAAGUUCAUGCAACUAACUGUAUUUUAACUACACAAAACUUGAGACAAGGCAGUAAAGAUAGAAACUUUAACAAUCUAGGUGUAGAUUUAUCAAACAAUAUUUAAAGCAAAAACCAGCUUCAUCAAUCCAUNAAUAGUUACUAGUCAUCAUUAUCAUACUUACAUUGGAUUAAUUAUGGGUUGGGUCCAAUGUACAGGCUAGACCCAAUAAUAUGUAUGGUAUAUGGUAUUUUGAGGAACUCACUAAGCUUUGUGCUUACAUUUAUGUGUUUAUGGUACUGCCUGUUGCAACGGGAAGGGUCUGGCGUGACUGUACAACAUCCCCUAGUGUUUUCCACAUUGGCUAUUAUGACAUUUACUAUGAUCAUAAAAUGAUUUAAUUACUAUAACUGGAUUUUGGGACAAAUCAAUUGGAUGGUUUAAAUGUUUUUAAAAUGAAACUUUUACUAAAAAAUUUUGGGAUCUUACACCUUACUUCACAAGCUUCACCAAAAUCAAGAAACCAAUCUCAAGAUCAAGUCACCAAGCUCUUUAUCAUGGGAAGGGGUUAUGGUUUCGAAAUGAAGAGAUAGAGGUUGAAGGAGGUGAAGUAAUACAAGAAUUAUGGUGGUUGAAUAUGGGCUAAACCCUAAAAAUCAUGGGGUUGGGAUACAACAACCACCACGUCUUUGCGUCCUUCUUGCGAUGUCAUGGUGUAUGAUGUGCACAAAUUAUACCUAUCUAGUUUUGAAUUGAUAACCUAACGAACUUAACUAGCUAGAAUGCACGUAGGCAGUGUACCUAGUCGAAUUAAAGAAUCGUCUAGGUAAGUUGGGUGUCGAUCACGGGGAAUGGUAUUUAAUUAAUAAAAUAACUAGUAAAAGGUAAACUAAGAAAGACAACUAAAAUGAGGGUUUUAUCUAAUUUUACAAGUUCAGAAAAACUUAAAUUAAAAUAACAAACUAAUGACUAAAGUAAACAACUAGAAAGACGAUUUCAAAUCAAGAAUAAUGGAUACUUUCGUUUAGCUUCGAACCCUUCCUGUUUCCUAUGGUUGAUUUCAAGACAAUGGAUUAAUUCUGCUAGCUACCAAAUAAUAGUUACUAGUCAUCAUGAUCAUACUAACUAGCAUAAGUUAAUUAACAACUUUAAACCUAAUGAUCAUGCAAGUUAAGGACACUAAAUUGAUUUUAAAGGUAAUUUGGACUUUGAAUGAUAUAAUCUACAGACUACUAUUCUUCUGUUAAGUCUAGUAAUUGAGAAAAUAUUAUGAUCAAAUACUGCACUUUAACACAAUUAAGCAACUAACUUAUCACCUAUACUAGGAUAUGGUCAAUCUCUAGCUCUAGCAAUUUAAUGGUCAUAAACAACUAGGUAAACCAAGUUCAUGCAACUAACUGUAUUUUAACUACACAAAACUUGAGACAAGGCAAUAAAGAUAGAAACUUUAACAAUCUAGGUGUAGAUUUAUCAAACAAUAUUUAAAGCAAAAACCAGCUUCAUCAAUCCAUAAAACAAGAAACCAAAUAAUAGUUACUAGUCAUCAUGAUCAUACUUACAAUGGAUUAAUUAUGGGUUGGGUCCAAUGUACGGGCUAGACCCAAUAAUAUGUAUGGUAUAUGGUAUUUUGGGGAACUCAUUAAGCUUCGUGCUUACAGUAAUGUGUUGAUGGUACUGCCUGUUCCAAUGGGAAGGGUCUGGCGUGACUGUACAGCAUCCCCUAGUGUUUUUCACAUUGGCUAUUAUGACAUUUACUAUGAUCAUAAAAUGAUUUAAUUACUAUAACUGGAUUUUGGGACAAAUCAAUUCGAUGGUUUAAAUGUUUUUAAAAUGAAACUUUUACUCAAAAAUUUUGGGAUCUUACACCUUACUUCACAAGCUUCACCAAAAUCAAGAAACCAAUCUCAAGAUCAAGCCACCAAGCUCUUUAUCAUGGGAAGGGGAUAUGGUUUCGAAAUGAAGAGAUAGAUGUUGAAGGAG